AUAUCUCCGCCGACACCAGCGUAAGCCCAGACCCACCUACCCUUUACAAUAACUGUUUGAAAACUCUGCUUCCCAUGACAAUGGCUUCGAUUGCACUCCAUUGCCCAAGAAGCUAACUACAACUACUACUGCGACUGCGACAACGGAAAAGGAGAUCAUUGCCAGUUCAUAUCCUUCUUUGUGUCAUUUUCACAAACAAUUUGCAUCCCCUAUAUCUCUCAGUCGGAUCUAUAUGCUCUUUGCAAAGAAAAGGUUUCUCUUUUAACGAAGUGCCUCUCUGACUGCGUCAUUUGAGGCUCAUAGAUUGAUUCGAAUGGACGGUGCUGACGGGACGGUGAGAUUGGGGGCUAUCAACUUGAAGCCCGAUCGGGUCCGCUUAGACUCAGGUCCAGAUGUCUCCGUUUCGUCGCCCGUUACUAGGCAGAAAGCCGCGGCUGCCAAGCAGUUCAUAGAGAAUCAUUACAAGAACCAUCUUCAAGGAUUGCAAGAUCGCAAAGACAGACGUCGAGCACUUCAAAGGAGAGCACAAGAAGCUCAGGUAUCUGUUGAGGAAGAAGAAGAGAUGCUGAGGAAUUUGGAGCGAAGAGAAACUGAAUACAUGAGGUUUCAAAGACGCAAAGUGGGAAUAGAUGACUUUGAGCAAUUAACCGUAAUUGGUAAAGGUGCAUUUGCUGAGGUCAGGCUAUGCCGUGCUAAAGAUACGAGAGAGGUUUUUGCCAUGAAGAAAUUGAAGAAAUCAGAGAUGCUUAGCCGUGGACAGGUUGAGCAUGUUCGAUCUGAGAGGAACUUGCUUGCAGAGGUUGAUAGUCGGUGCAUUGUAAAACUCUUUUAUUCUUUUCAAGAUUCUGAUUUCUUAUACCUUAUCAUGGAGUAUUUACCUGGUGGGGAUAUUAUGACAUUACUGAUGAGGGAAGAUAUUCUUUCUGAAGACGUUGCACGCUUUUACAUAGCAGAGAGCAUUCUAGCUAUCCACUCAAUUCAUCAGCACAAAUAUAUACAUAGGGACAUAAAACCAGAUAACCUGAUCCUGGAUAAGAAUGGCCAUUUGAAGCUUUCAGAUUUUGGAUUGUGCAAGCCUCUGGAUGAUAAGUAUUCAACAAUAUUGCUGGAAGAUGAGGAUUUUACCAUCCAGGAAUCCACAGCUGAGACUGAAGGACAUUCUGGCUAUGAUAGAGCACCUUGGUUGAUGCCAAAGGAGCAAUUACAACAAUGGAAACGUAAUCGUCGUGCAUUAGCUUAUUCAACGGUUGGAACUCUUGAUUAUAUGGCACCUGAGAUUUUGCUCAAGAAGGGGUAUGGAAUGGAGUGUGAUUGGUGGUCACUGGGAGCAAUCAUGUAUGAGAUGCUUAUUGGCUAUCCUCCCUUCUGUUCUGAUGAUCCAAGGAUCACAUGCCGAAAGAUAGUCAAUUGGAAAACGUGCUUGAAAUUCCCUGAGGAACCAAAAAUAUCGGAGGAGGCCAAAGAUCUGAUAUGUCAUUUAUUAUGUGAUGUCGAAACAAGGCUGGGUACCCAAGGAGUGGAAGAAGUAAAGGCACAUUCAUGGUUCAGAUCCAUUCAGUGGGACAUGCUGUAUGAAAUGGAAGCUGCAUAUAAACCUACUGUAAAGGGCGACUUGGACACUCAGAAUUUUGAGAAGUUUCCUGAUGAACUGCAACAAGGACAAGGUGAAGACUAUAAAGAAGAAACUUCAUUAUAUCUGCUGGAACCAGCUUUUCAAACUCGUGGAAGGUCCACCAUCAACAAUACCAACAGUGGGACCCUGGCGGAAGAUGUUGACAUCAAAAGAUACAAACUUCAUUGGAUUUACUUUCAAGAAGUCAGAUGUCCUUAAAUCACUUGAAGAUUCAGGUAUGGAUAUGGGUUCAAAUGGAUCGUCAAAGGCCCCAUCACUAAUUUCCUUGUUAGGUCGGAUUGACUUGCAAGGAACUGUGAUACCAGAGGGGGAGCAGAAGCACGAGGAAACUUGAGUUAACAUCGUUUUGUUGUGCUUCAAUUCGAGUAGGUAUUAUCAUUCUCUUCACAAACAAAGAAGAAGCUGCUGCAAGAGACUGGUUUCGGUUAGAAUGGGUAGGUGAAAACAUGAAUAAGCUCCAUGAUCUUGAGCAUAAUUUUAAUUUAUACAAUCAAAGAAUGUAUGGGUGAUGCUGUAAAAGCCAAUAUCAGUUCUAAAUGUCUUCCCCAAGACCAAAAAGCUAAAUUGUACCUUAUAUAGUUCUCUGUAUAUCCAAUGUAACAUAGCAUCAGCUCAUUCAAUUUUGUCUGUGGAAGUUGAUGUGUGUCUGUAAAUUAUACGAUUUUUUCAAUGAAUGCUUUGGAUGUUGUUGUUA
Molecule: RNA transcript, 2327 nt
Organism: Carya illinoinensis
Lineage: Eukaryota; Viridiplantae; Streptophyta; Magnoliopsida; Fagales; Juglandaceae
Gene name: serine/threonine-protein kinase tricornered-like
Exons: 13
Source: RefSeq, a predicted model, not a curated record